RNAcentral lists this ribosomal RNA (865 nucleotides) under uncultured bacterium. Its description in RNAcentral is "bacterial SSU rRNA". It matches the Rfam family "Bacterial small subunit ribosomal RNA", at positions 9 to 922 of the family's 1533-position model. The record is from RNAcentral.
GAGUUUGAUCAUGGCUCAGAACGAACGCUGGCGGCAGGCCUAACACAUGCAAGUCGAGCGCACCUUCGGGUGAGCGGCGGACGGGUUAGUAACGCGUGGGAACGUACCCUUUUCUACGGAAUAGCCUUUGGAAACGAAGAGUAAUACCGUAUACGCCCUUUGGGGGAAAGAUUUAUCGGAGAAGGAUCGGCCCGCGUUAGAUUAGAUAGUUGGUGGGGUAACGGCCUACCAAGUCUACGAUCUAUAGCUGGUUUUAGAGGAUGAUCAGCAACACUGGGACUGAGACACGGCCCAGACUCCUACAGGAGGCAGCAGUGGGGAAUCUUAGACAAUGGGCGCAAGCCUGAUCUAGCCAUGCCGCGUGAGUGAUGAAGGCCUUAGGGUCGUAAAGCUCUUUCGCCUGCGAUGAUAAUGACAGUAGCAGGUAAAGAAACCCCGGCUAACUCCGUGCCAGCAGCCGCGGUAAUACGGAGGGGGUUAGCGUUGUUCGGAAUUACUGGGCGUAAAGCGCACGUAGGCGGAUUGGAAAGUUGGGGGGUGAAGUCCCGGGGCUCAACCCCGGAACUGCCUCCAAAACUAUCAGUCUAGAGUUCGAGAGAGGUGAGUGGAAUUCCAAGUGUAGAGGUGAAAUUCGUAGAUAUUUGGAGGAACACCAGUGGCGAAGGCGGCUCACUGGCUCGAUACUGACGCUGAGGUGCGAAAGUGUGGGGAGCAAACAGGAUUAGAUACCCUGGUAGUCCACACCGUAAACGAUGAAUGCCAGUCGUCGGGCAGUAUACUGUUCGGUGACACACCUAACGGAUUAAGCAUUCCGCCUGGGGAGUACGGUCGCAAGAUUAAAACUCAAAGGAAUUGACGGGGGCCC